AAUUGAAGAGUUUGAUCAUGGCUCAGAUUGAACGCUGGCGGCAGGCCUAACACAUGCAAGUCGAGCGGUAGCACAGAGAGCUUGCUCUCGGGUGACGAGCGGCGGACGGGUGAGUAAUGUCUGGGAAACUGCCUGAUGGAGGGGGAUAACUACUGGAAACGGUAGCUAAUACCGCAUAACGUCGCAAGACCAAAGUGGGGGACCUUCGGGCCUCAUGCCAUCAGAUGUGCCCAGAUGGGAUUAGCUAGUAGGUGGGGUAACGGCUCACCUAGGCGACGAUCCCUAGCUGGUCUGAGAGGAUGACCAGCCACACUGGAACUGAGACACGGUCCAGACUCCUACGGGAGGCAGCAGUGGGGAAUAUUGCACAAUGGGCGCAAGCCUGAUGCAGCCAUGCCGCGUGUGUGAAGAAGGCCUUCGGGUUGUAAAGCACUUUCAGCGGGGAGGAAGGCGAUAAGGUUAAUAACCUUGGCGAUUGACGUUACCCGCAGAAGAAGCACCGGCUAACUCCGUGCCAGCAGCCGCGGUAAUACGGAGGGUGCAAGCGUUAAUCGGAAUUACUGGGCGUAAAGCGCACGCAGGCGGUCUGUCAAGUCGGAUGUGAAAUCCCCGGGCUCAACCUGGGAACUGCAUUCGAAACUGGCAGGCUAGAGUCUUGUAGAGGGGGGUAGAAUUCCAGGUGUAGCGGUGAAAUGCGUAGAGAUCUGGAGGAAUACCGGUGGCGAAGGCGGCCCCCUGGACAAAGACUGACGCUCAGGUGCGAAAGCGUGGGGAGCAAACAGGAUUAGAUACCCUGGUAGUCCACGCCGUAAACGAUGUCGAUUUGGAGGUUGUGCCCUUGAGGCGUGGCUUCCGGAGCUAACGCGUUAAAUCGACCGCCUGGGGAGUACGGCCGCAAGGUUAAAACUCAAAUGAAUUGACGGGGGCCCGCACAAGCGGUGGAGCAUGUGGUUUAAUUCGAUGCAACGCGAAGAACCUUACCUGGUCUUGACAUCCACAGAACUUUCCAGAGAUGGAUUGGUGCCUUCGGGAACUGUGAGACAGGUGCUGCAUGGCUGUCGUCAGCUCGUGUUGUGAAAUGUUGGGUUAAGUCCCGCAACGAGCGCAACCCUUAUCCUUUGUUGCCAGCGGUCCGGCCGGGAACUCAAAGGAGACUGCCAGUGAUAAACUGGAGGAAGGUGGGGAUGACGUCAAGUCAUCAUGGCCCUUACGACCAGGGCUACACACGUGCUACAAUGGCAUAUACAAAGAGAAGCGACCUCGCGAGAGCAAGCGGACCUCAUAAAGUAUGUCGUAGUCCGGAUUGGAGUCUGCAACUCGACUCCAUGAAGUCGGAAUCGCUAGUAAUCGUAGAUCAGAAUGCUACGGUGAAUACGUUCCCGGGCCUUGUACACACCGCCCGUCACACCAUGGGAGUGGGUUGCAAAAGAAGUAGGUAGCUUAACCUUCGGGAGGGCGCUUACCACUUUGUGAUUCAUGACUGGGGUGAAGUCGUAACAAGGUAACCGUAGGGGAACCUGCGGUUGGAUCACCUCCUUA
RNAcentral lists this ribosomal RNA (1539 nucleotides) under Klebsiella pneumoniae CG43. RNAcentral describes it as "bacterial SSU rRNA". It matches the Rfam family "Bacterial small subunit ribosomal RNA". The record is from RNAcentral. Lineage: Bacteria; Pseudomonadati; Pseudomonadota; Gammaproteobacteria; Enterobacterales; Enterobacteriaceae.